AAGGGUCUUGAGAGUGAAUGGGAAAUACUUGAAGAAAUAUAAACCUGCGUUUUUCCUGUGUCAAAGUAAUUGUGUUUUCCUUUGUUUUUUUUUCUUUUUUCAAAAUCCUUAGCUUUGCCCAAGGCUAACAAAUCAUUGUAGGGCCAGUUUAAAUUUCAAAAUCAUUAUGACAAAUAAAGGGAAUUUUGUUAAAAUUCUUAUUGUUCAUUUAUUUUAUUUUUUCUUAAAAUGACAAUCCUUUCAAAAACUACAAAACUUUUU
This 261-nucleotide long non-coding RNA is filed under the name Lathyrus oleraceus (garden pea). RNAcentral describes it as "Pisum sativum (pea) long non-coding RNA (PSAT_LNC006247)". Lineage: Eukaryota; Viridiplantae; Streptophyta; Magnoliopsida; Fabales; Fabaceae. The record is from RNAcentral.